AGGCCUAUUAAACAGCACUACCAGGCUGAAAAAACAGGGGUUUUUACUUUAUCCCACCCAGCUCCUGGACAUUUUUAGGAUUUUUUCCAGUUAAAUUUGUCUGUUGACAGAAUAGAUACUUAGCUGAAAAGCUCUGCCUUCAUCUACCUUUGUUAAGAAGAUUACUAGGUAAACUGGGUCUAAACAGUUGGUGUGUGCAUAUGUUUGGUGUCAGGGGAGUGGAGAUGUGGCCUUGCCAGUCAGCACUGUCCCUGCAAAAGCACUGUGGAAGUCCUGCAGCCUGGCUGACAUGUCCAUGAGAAAUAAUUCAGAAUCUCACCAAACACAGAGUAAGCAUAUAUGUCCAUCAGUCUCUGGCUGAAAAGAAUACAUAACCCUCCAAGAAGAUUUUUAUAAAAGGAGGUUUUUGCUUCUAUGAAGUAGGAAGGAAGGCAUCACAGAGGAUUUAUUUUUCAGACAUCACUUGUUCAAUAAAUUGGAGAGUAUUAUGUGGCUAUAUGCAGAGGAUACAGUGUUGCGGAGAAGUUGUAUUGACUACUCUGUAGGAGUGCAUGAUGUAUCAAUACCAUCAGUGUGGGCAAUUAAUUUCACCAAGAACAAGGUCUAAGUCCAGCCUUCAGCGUGGCUUUGGUUAUGCUCUAAGCCUCAUCACUUUGUAGCCAAGUGUAUAUAAUGACAUAGACUACUGGCUUGGACCACACUUCUGCAUAGAUGAGCCAGAAAUCAUUCUGAAUUGCAUUUAACCUGGACUUUGACACACACAAGAAACAAAAUUACUUCUAUAAUGAUAUUUCUUGUAUCAUUUACCAUCAAUUUCCUGUCCUGUCAGGCUGCUUUGUUUCUCUGUACUACUCGUUUUAAACCCAGUACUGCAGAUGUUGGACUGGAAGCUGGCAUUCAGAAGACCUAUUCUUUGUUUUGCUGCUAACUCACUUGUGUGACCUUUGGUGGAUUCAUAAAUCUACCUUUGUUUCAGUUUACUUGUCUCUAAAAUUGCUGUGAUAAAUAAAUGUUGUGUUUUGUUGAGCUGAAUUUCAAGUUAUAUUGACCCAAUAAUCAAUAAUUUACCAACUAAUAAUAAAUCCUAAUAUUCAGUCACUGAAACAAGAAGUCAGCUGGAUUGCUCAGUGGACUCCUUGCUACAGUUAGAUGGACACCUUUGCUCAAAUUCCAUCCAAGGGCCAGAGGUAUCUGGAGAGAUGUUUUCAAGUUAGCACUAAGCCUGA
Gymnogyps californianus (California condor) is the source of this 1226-nucleotide long non-coding RNA. RefSeq lists it as uncharacterized. The transcript is spliced from 5 exons. Lineage: Eukaryota; Metazoa; Chordata; Aves; Accipitriformes; Cathartidae. The record is from RefSeq and is a predicted model, not a curated record.